AGCGAACGCUGGCGGCAGGCCUAACACAUGCAAGUCGAACGAACCUUUCGGGGUUAGUGGCGGACGGGUGAGUAACACGUGGGAACGUGCCUUUAGGUUCGGAAUAACUCAGGGAAACUUGUGCUAAUACCGAAUGUGCCCUUCGGGGGAAAGAUUAAUCGCCUUUAGAGCGGCCCGCGUCUGAUUAGCUAGUUGGUUGAGGUAAUGGCUCACCAAGGCGACGAUCAGUAGCUGGUCUGAGAGGAUGAUCAGCCACAUUGGGACUGAGACACGGCCCAAACUCCUACGGGAGGCAGCAGUGGGGAAUCUUGCGCAAUGGGCGAAAGCCUGACGCAGCCAUGCCGCGUGAAUGAUGAAGGUCUUAGGAUUGUAAAAUUCUUUCACCGGGGACGAUAAUGACGGUACCGGGAGAAGAAGCCCCGGCUAACUUCGUG
Molecule: ribosomal RNA, 434 nt
Filed under: uncultured bacterium
Lineage: Bacteria
Description: partial 16S ribosomal RNA
Rfam family: Bacterial small subunit ribosomal RNA
Source: RNAcentral